RNAcentral lists this antisense RNA (75 nucleotides) under Paractinoplanes brasiliensis. Its description in RNAcentral is "Actinoplanes brasiliensis ASpks TB sRNA". It matches the Rfam family "ASpks TB sRNA". Lineage: Bacteria; Bacillati; Actinomycetota; Actinomycetes; Micromonosporales; Micromonosporaceae. The record is from RNAcentral.
CUUGACCGCCCCGAGCCACAGCGGCCGGUCAGCGCUACGGUCCCGGCCGUACGUGGCGAGCAGCGCCUGCGCCUC